RNAcentral lists this ribosomal RNA (413 nucleotides) under uncultured bacterium. RNAcentral describes it as "bacterial SSU rRNA". It matches the Rfam family "Bacterial small subunit ribosomal RNA", at positions 30 to 441 of the family's 1533-position model. The record is from RNAcentral.
AUUGAACGCUGGCGGCAUGCCUUACACAUGCAAGUCGAGCGGUAGAGAGGUGCUUGCAUCUCUUGAGAGCGGCGGACGGGUGAGUAAUGCCUAGGAAUCUGCCUAGUGGUGGGGGAUAACGUUCGGAAACGGACGCUAAUACCGCAUACGUCCUACGGGAGAAAGCGGGGGAUCUUCGGACCUCGCGCCAUUAGAUGAGCCUAGGUCGGAUUAGCUAGUUGGUGAGGUAAUGGCUCACCAAGGCGACGAUCCGUAACUGGUCUGAGAGGAUGAUCAGUCACACUGGAACUGAGACACGGUCCAGACUCCUACGGGAGGCAGCAGUGGGAAUAUUGGACAAUGGGCGAAAGACCUGAUCCAGCCACUGCCGCGUGUGUGAAGAAGGUACUUCGGAUUGUAAAGCACUUUAAGUU